UUUUUUUUAAAGAAACAUUUAUUUUAAAUAUAUGGUGCUAUAGGGUAAAAAAAUAAGUUUUUUGACAUUAGAAAAAAAAAAUUAUUAUCAGAAUAAGGCUAGAAGCUUAUUAUGAUAUUCAAUUUUAAGUAGUUUUAAAAACUUAAAAUAAAUGGCAGUAAAAUAUUCAGGUUAAGGAAUUUUGAAGAAUAAUUUGAAAAUCCUCAAUUUAAUUUACUUUAAAAAAUUUUUUGUGCGGCUGUUUAAUGAAAAUUUUAAAAUAUAGUUAAAGUCAGGUUUUGCGUCAUAAUUAUUUAAAGGAAUUUUUGAAAUGCGGUAUAAGAUUAAUUUUCUACAUUAAUAAAUACAGUACUUAAUAGUAAUUUAUAAUAAAAUAAAA
Molecule: ribosomal RNA, 379 nt
Filed under: Monothula subtilis
Lineage: Eukaryota; Metazoa; Arthropoda; Copepoda; Poecilostomatoida; Oncaeidae
Description: partial 12S ribosomal RNA
Source: RNAcentral